This is a long non-coding RNA of Capsicum annuum, 874 nucleotides long. RefSeq lists it as uncharacterized. The record is from RefSeq and is a predicted model, not a curated record. Lineage: Eukaryota; Viridiplantae; Streptophyta; Magnoliopsida; Solanales; Solanaceae. The transcript has 2 exons.
UACAGCAGCUGCUGCAAAUUUGAUUGGUGGUAUUGAGUGGGGAAGAGGGACUGAAAAUAAUUAAAGGAUUGAUGUUUUUGAAGCUAAUGUUGAUAGUUCCAAUGAAAGGGAAAGGGGGACUGGUAAAGGCAGAGGGGUUGUUGCUCUUGCAUCUAAUGUAGAUGGUGCCAAUGUAAAGGGGAGAGAGUGAUAAAAAUAUAGGUACUGUUGCUCUAUGUCUAAUAUAGUUGGUGCCACUGGAAGGCGAAAAAGGACUUGUAGGGAUAGAGCGAUUGUUGCUCCUACUUCAAAUAUUGUUGGUGUCAUUGGAAGGGGUAGAGGGAGUGUUGCUACUACAUCAAAUAUUGAUGGUGUUCGUGGAAGAGUAGAUGGGUUGUUGAUCCUGCAUCUAACCUUGGUGGUGUUACUCGUAGGGAUCGAUGGACAAGUUUUGAAAAAUCAAGGAUGGUUGGGAUGGAGGUUCUACAUAUACAAAAUGGUUUUAAAAUCCACAAUUCUGAAAUGCCUUUGAAAUCCUCUCUAGUAACUAAAAAUUUUGAGCAUCAUAAACCAAGAUCAAGUGUGAAAUGUAAAAGAAUGCCUCUUUUGUCACCCAACAAGGACUUCAAGAAAUGAGAGCACAAAAAAGAAUGAAGACAAGUACCAAAGCUGCUGAAAUAAAUCAAUUAAGCCAAACAAGUUCUUCAGUUGUGUAGUGUUUGAACUCUGAUUUGUUCCACUAAAUUCUGUCAUUUAUUUGAUGUUUGAUUUGCUCAAACAAUUAUAUAGUUAUGCUUGGAUAGAUAUAUUUUUGUAAAACAAUUAUGCAGAUAUGACUGUUGUGUGAUGUCUAUUUUAUUUCAAACAAUUAUGCAUCUGUGACUGCAUUUUUUGA